Molecule: ribosomal RNA, 251 nt
Filed under: Clostridioides sp. ZZV14-6044
Lineage: Bacteria; Bacillati; Bacillota; Clostridia; Peptostreptococcales; Peptostreptococcaceae
Description: partial 16S ribosomal RNA
Rfam family: Bacterial small subunit ribosomal RNA
Source: RNAcentral
AGUCAGUCAGGAGUGAAAGGCUACGGCUCAACCGUAGUACUUGAAACUGGGAGACUUGAGUGCAGGAGAGGAGAGUGGAAUUCCUAGUGUAGCGGUGAAAUGCGUAGAGAUUAGGAAGAACACCAGUGGCGAAGGCGACUCUCUGGACUGUAACUGACGCUGAGGCUCGAAAGCGUGGGGAGCAAACAGGAUUAGAUACCCUAGUAGUCCACGCUGUAAACGAUGAGUACUAGGUGUCGGGGGUUACCCCC